Molecule: transfer RNA, 73 nt
Filed under: Chloroidium sp. UTEX 3077
Lineage: Eukaryota; Viridiplantae; Chlorophyta; Trebouxiophyceae; Watanabeales; Watanabeaceae
Description: tRNA-Cys
Rfam family: tRNA
About the family: Transfer RNA (tRNA) molecules are approximately 80 nucleotides in length.
Source: RNAcentral
AGGUGAAAUAACAUAAAGGUAAUGUUUGAGAUUGCAAAUCUUACAAUAGCAGUUCGAUUCUGCUUUUCACCUA